GUUCACCUGUUCCCCAGUCACUUGUACGUUCACCUGUUCCCCAGUCCCUUGUACGUUCACCUGUUCCCCAGUCACCUGUAUGUUCACCUGUUCCCCAGUCACCUGUACGUUCACCUGUUCCCCAGUCCCUUGUAGGUUCACCUGUUCCCCAGUCACCUGUAUGUUCACCUGUUCCCCAGUUGUGUGUAGCCCUGUUAACCUUUUUAUAUCUGGAGAGAGAAAAAACUAUCUACCAACAUUCAUUUCUCUAGCUGUAACCUUUCAAAAUAAAGAAAGUGGCACACUCCAUGUAUAAACUCCUAGCAAUUUAAUGGUCAUUUACCAACGUUUCCGCAUCACUGUGCCUUCCUCAGGGUAAUGUCAUGAAAACUUGAACCAGGUUAUAAGCUAAUAUGCUGUAGAAAGAAUAUACAUUUAUAAGAUGUGCUCAUAAAGGAAAAUGUGUUCAUAAGAAGGCCCUGAGAUCAAAAUCAAUAUUCAGACCACUAGGAGUUAGAUAGUAAUCAAUAAAUCCUACCUGGAUUUAUGGAUUAUCAAAGAGAAGGAUGCAUUACACACAGAUUUAUACAGAAAGCCCACAGAUCACAAUACCUUGCUAUGUGCGCAUCCCCUUCCCCUCCAGAAUGGUCUACCAUUUAGCCAGUUAUGCAGGGUUAAACUAAUCGGAUAGUAUGCAUCCCCUUCCCCUCAAGAAUGGUCUACCAUUUAGCCAGUUAUGCAGGGUUAAACUAAUCGGAUAGUAUGCAUCCCCUUCCCCUCAAGAAUGGUCUACCAUUUAGCCAGUUAUGCAGGGUUAAACUAAUCGGAUAGUAUGCAUCCCCUUCCCCUCAAGAAUGGUCUACCAUUUAGCCAUUUAUGCAGGGUUAAACUAAUCGGAUAGUAUGCAUCCCCUUCCCCUCAAGAAUGGUCUACCAUUUAGCCAGUUAUGCAGGGUUAAACUAAUCGGAUAGUAUGCAUCCCCUUCCCUCAAGAAUGGUCUACCAUUUAGCCAGUUAUGCAGGGUUAAACUAAUCGGAUAGUAUGCAUCCCCUUCCCCUCAAGAAUGGUCUACCAUUUAGCCAGUUAUGCAGGGUUAAACUAAUCGGAUAGUAUGCAUCCCCUUCCCCUCAAGAAUGGUCUACCAUUUAGCCAGUUAUGCAGGGUUAGAUUUUGACAGCAAUGCUAAUAAAAAUGACAGAUACAUUUAAAAUGAGAGGCUACAAGUACAAAACUCUUAAUGCUGCAAUGAUGAAAAUAAAACCAAGAGAGGAAUUACUAAAAACUCAACCAAAGAAGAAAAACAACGCAACUGUCUUUUGCACUAAGUACACCAAGGGUUCGGAGAAAUUAUUUUUUAUUUAUUUUAUUUUUAUUUAACUAGGCAAGUCAGUGAAGAACGAAUUCUUAUUUUCAAUGACAGCCUAGGAACAGUGAGUUAACUGCCUUGUUCAGGGGCAGAACAACAGAUUGUGACCUUGUCAGCUCAGGAAUUCAAUCUUGCAACCUUUCGGUUACCAGUCCAACACUCUAACCACUAGGCUACCCUGCUGCCCCAAAUGAAAGCAACUCUGAAAAAUCACUGGCAUAUUCUGCAAUCAGACCAGAAAAUUGCACACCUCUUCAAGGUAUCCCCACUGGUGGUCUAUAAGUGUGGUCUCAAUAUUGGAGAUAGUUAGGUGAGAUCUGACAUGCCCCCUGAGCCCACUCAGACACUCUUGACACCUAUCCCAAAUGGGAACUACAAAUGUGGCUCAUGCACAUAGUGCAAUAGCACUAUAAAAACAUCCUUCAGACACCCAAAUACAGGUGGAAAGAUCCCUGUUAGAGGUAUCAUCUCAUGCAAGACAAAGGGAGUAAUCUAUCUCAUCACCUGUUCAUGUGGAAAAGCCUACGUAGGACAAACGAAAAGACAAUUAAAACAAAGCAUAGCUGAGCAGCUCAAUCAGGUGUAAGAACACUGACUAUCCAAUAGCAGCUCACUUUGUUGAAGCUAACCAUUCAAUCUCCUCCCUCAAAUACACAGGCAUUGAGCAUGUUCUCUACCAAGGAGAGGAGGUAACAUUGGGAUCCUACUACUACAACAGGAGGCUUACUGGAUAUCCUAUCUAAACACAUUGACCCCUAGUGGUUUGAAUAUUGACUUUGAUAUCAGGCCCUUCUGAACACAUUUUCCUUUAUGUUUCUAUAUGAUAACAAUAGCAUAGUAUAUUUAAUAUGCCAUAUACCAUUUUGAACAGUUUCACUAAUUCAUCUUAAUUAACUUAAUCAUUAUGAUUAUUGUCAUUGGUUGGACUAAUUGCACUGUUUGUCUACAUAACCUGGUUCAAGUAUUCAUGACAUUACCCUGUGGAAGGCAAAGUGAUGCCGAAACGUUGGUAAAUUACCAUUAAAUUGCUUUUAAUCUAGCUGUAACCCACCUAACACAGAACACCUACUGGUCACUGCUCAGCCUGCUAUCUCAUCAUUAUAAUGAUAAUAACAGACUAGGAUUGUGUUCAUAAUCUAUUUAUCUAGGCUGUACGUGGUGUAGGCAGCAGUGUUGAUAGUCUGUCUGUACAGAGGGUGGACUACAGUGUUGAUUGUAUGUCCACACAGUGUACAUUGCCAUUCAGGUUUCAAACUCCCACAGUGACUCAGCAGUCUGAGACACACACACACACACGCACACGCACACACACACACACACACACACACACACACACACACACACACACACACACACACACACACACACACACACACAGACCCUGUAUAGGCAAUAUUCUAGUCUCAGAUUGUUAAGAAACAAUGUCUCUCUUCGCUUUCAUACAGAGCAGAAGGCGUUUCUUUCUUCUUCUCUGUGGUAGCAUUUGGGCAUGGCAUUUGAAGAAUUUUUUAUAUUUUUUAUUUGAUUUAAAUGUAUUUGGAUACAUCUUCCGAUUCUAAAUCAACUAAUAUGGCAGCUUAAUGACUUUAAGUCAUGUGUACCAUUAUAAUAACAUUGUGCUACUGGUAGGAGUAGUAACACCAAUGACGGUAACAUCAAUAACAGAGGAUUUUCUUAAAUGGAGACCUGAUGAUAAAAUAUAAGGUUAUUAAAACCCUUCAAACCUUCAUUUACUAUUGAUAUGAUUAAUCAUUUUGCACACAAUGUAAUUUACCUUCAUUUAAAUUGACUAACACCAAUUACACUUUUUAUUAUCAAAUUAUCAAUGGAAUCUUCAAAUUGCGUGUCUUACACUGACAAUGAACCUAUGGGAUUUUAUUUGUAUCAACUUGACCUUUGGCCAGGUAGUUGAUCAGGAUUAAUCUCUCUCUUUCAGAGGCUACCCAACCAGCCAGUCAGGUUUCAAACUACCACAGUCACUCAAUGCACACACACACGCACACACACACACACACACACACGCACGCACACACACACACACACACACACACACACACACACACACAGUGGCGACCCAUCAUCCAGGUUUGUGGGGCUCUGUUUUUCGCCCCACCUGUUAACAAAAAAACAAGUAUGAUGAUGGCAUUAAUACAUGUCACAUUUCAGUUUGUAAACAAUGUAAAAAUAAUAUUAAUUGAGUUAAUAAAGCCGCAUACAACAAUGGUCUCUUUUUUUGCUUUCUUGCAUAAGGCAGCUCCAAAAUCUAGGUGUUUCAGCCUAGCUCAGUGCUUUCUGUGGUGGUGUGGCAGCCAGUGGAAACUAUGGAGGGUAGGGUUUGGUAAUAUUCUCUAGUUGCGACUUGAUUGGCUCAGUGUUCUGUCAUUCAUGGGGACACUACGUCACCGCAAAAUCUAUGAGGACAGCUCGAAAAUUCAAGCCCCUUGGGUUCUGCCAUAGAUUUACAUUAGAAGUGCCCAUCCAAGAAGGCUCAAGGUAAUAUCUCAUAAUAUCUACCUUAGUUUUGAUUGGACUGAUCAUAUUAACAUCAUAUUUCCAAAAUCUUAGCUAGCAAGCUAGACAAGUAGUCAUCAUCAUGAAUCAAGCUGACAAUCUACUGGCAAAUCCUUUUCAAUCCUUGUCAUAUGAAGAUAAAUUACAGAUAAAACGUAUCACUGCUCAUCGGCCAUUGGACAUAAUACUAAGUGUAUGUUGAUUAGUAAGCUGUUAGUAGCCCAUGUGCCUCACCCUAAUAAUUUGGUCUCUUUCCCCCUCAUAAUUUAGCCUACUGUUCUGACUUGGUGGUGCACCUGUAGCCUAUUGCCUGUUUUAGAGUAAUGUCAUCAUCAAAUGUUUUAUUUGUCUGCUUAUAUGCCCCCUUUAUUUAUCCUACGGUUCUGACUUAGUGUACAUGGAGAAUACUGUAAUAACGGCCCAUGUUCUGAAUUUUGUCACUGUACAUUUCAAAAGUGCUGAACAAAUAGCUAUAUUGACUACCUCCGUCCUAGCUCGCACAUUGUCUUAAUCGAAAUUACGGAUUGCCUCUUAUCCGCUCGUCGUUCCCAUAUGCCAUAGUUUGUACAUCUCAACUGUCAUUAGAAACUACAUUUAUUUAAGCAAGUCAGCCAUAUCAGCUAUGUUUUUUUUAAAGGCAGUAAAUGAGGCUGAAUGAACUGCCAGACAAGGCUCCGCUGAAAGCGAGGUGUAGCGGAUUCACUCCCUGGUGCUGAAAAGAAGCUCUGCUGUUGGAACAGCUUUAUGUAGCCCCUAACAGUUUGUGGGCACCGUUUGUCAUCGUUAUAGUGCAAUUAAUGUAUUGUUUAGUGUUGUGUUGUGUAGUGGCUUUGCUGGCAUGCAUCUAAAAAAAAUGGUUGAGUUUGCCCCAACAAGAUUUACAUGCUAAAAUCGCCACUGCACACACACAAACACACACCCACCGGGUACAGGCAAUAUUCCAGUCUCAGAUUGCUAAGAAAUAAUGGUUAUCUUCCCUUUCAUACAGGACAGAAGGUAAAGUGUUCCUCUGGGGUUCUGGCACAUUGUCUGAGGGGCGUGUCUCCUAUCUCAAUGUCCGCUCCAGUGAGAUCCAUCCAGGAGUGGCUGAUCCUGUGCAGUUCCCAGACAGACAUUAUGAAGGCAGUAGAGAGAAAGAGGAAAUACGAGUUCGGAGGCAAAGGGCCCACGUGUCUUUCUUGUCCCAAUGAACCUGUAGUUGUGUUCCUAGUCUAUAGAGAAACACUGAACCUCUGGUGGUGUUACUAGUUGUCUAUAGAGAAACACUGAACCUCUGGUGGUGUUACUAGUUGUCUAUAGAGAAAC
This is a long non-coding RNA of Oncorhynchus tshawytscha (Chinook salmon), 5161 nucleotides long. NCBI's taxonomy places the organism in Eukaryota, Metazoa, Chordata, Actinopteri, Salmoniformes, Salmonidae. The record is from Ensembl.